GCAGCUGAUCAAUGAUCCUUUCUCAUCACUAUUGUUUCUAUCCCUCUCUCCCUCUCCAUUCUUCUCUGAAAUCAAUAAAAAAAAAAUAUUUUAUAAAAGAGAUGUUCAUAUAUAUCGCUAAAUUAAUCUUUUUAGCUAUAGCCCAUUAUUUUGAUUUGUUGAGAUCAUUUUGGACCUGAUGCUAGGCAUCUCUCAGCUUUGUUUAAUCGACAAGCACAGAGCCUUGUUCUCAUCUAAAGCUGUAAUAAAAACAUUCAUCAUCUUUCCUUUCCAUUGCUUUCUUUCUCCAGCUUUCCCAUGAACUGUUGCAGGAACUUGAUAUCCAUGAUCACCCCCUGAAAUAAGCCUUCCACGCUGCCUGGGGGUGCCUGUUAAAAAACCGUGAGGGAUUCGUGUACUCUCGUCUUUGCCAUCUAGUCCCUUGACCAUCACUUCAGAUCCCUUUUCCACACCUGGACAACAUAAUUAUGUAACCGGUUUUUCUUUCUCAAGUCUCACUCCUUCCUCCUCCAGCCCAUCCUCUCCAGCUGCCAGAAUGGCCUGCUUGGGCCACACUUUCAUUCAUCAGCACCCCUGAGUGUCUCCCCCUGCUUUGUUUAGUGGGGGAACGUUAUAUAAUUUGGCUGCACCUCCCCUCUCAUGCCAUCCCCAAAGCACCUCAUUCUGCAUCCUUAGCAUGAUUUUGCAACUCCUAAAGCAAGAGAGAGCCACCAUUUCUUAAUUUUUUUUUUUUAAUCUUUCUAAUAGGAUGGCUCAAAAAUAAAACAACAUGGGACUGCUUACAGACUAAUGAUGAAUUAGAUCACUUUUAGAAACACAGUCCUGGGAUAUCUGUCUGAUGAUUCUGUUGAACGCAGCAAUUGAUUUCUUUACCUCAUUUUGAAUCUGUAGAAUUGGAUUUCUAACCUAAUAAGGAUGUUACUAUUAGAGGAGAGGACUGAUGGGGCACAUUUUGACUUUUGUCAAGUUCAAGAGUUCAUGUAAUGUACACGAAUAAACUAUUUUCAGUGAGAAUAAUGAACAGGAGGGCCUGCAGGCAUUUUAAUGUCUGUUCCUGGGUUAAACUUUAAUGUGGCACUUUAUCAUAUAUGCAACCUAGCUAACGUUUAGGAAAGGGUUUUAAAGGAAGCUUAGUACCCACACCUGACGUUGAGAUAAAUGAACCCUUGGGGUUAAUUAACAUUUGGUGGUGGUGGAGCAGACAUGGGAAAGUGGGUUCUGCCGCACUGCAUUGUUCACCAUGCAGCAAGGAUGUACAGAAAUGGAACAAAAGGCAGGGCAGGGACUAGCACCUCCCCAUAGAUGGCAUGUCACUACUACAGUAGUAUUUACUGUUUUCCUUCUGUGCCUGUUAAUGCAAGAUAGUAAAAUGAAGAUCAAAGCCAACCUGCCUUUUUCUCUUCCUUUCAAAGGGCCAGUCUUUCCUGGGGCAGGAUUUCUUUGUCCAGCAGCCUGCUGGCAGCUCUGCCUAUGCUCUGAGAUGGCACAGAAGCCAUCGGGAAGUUGCACCGUUCUAGGAAACCCUUUAACUUCGAGAAUGGGGACGACAGACACCCAGCGGGGACCCUUUUGUUCCCCAGGGAUUGUUUGGUUCCACGUUAACCUGCACUGGCUUUGUCGUUUUCAAACCCUAACAGGUGACUGGUCACAGCUGUGACUGGGACUCUGCCAGUCGGAGCUGGAGUGGAAUUUACAAGGCUGCAGGAUGCAAGCACCGUGGCUUCAGAGAGUAUGGGCCUGGGUUUAACCCUGACACAGGGCCUUAACUGCGGCUUUCACCUCUGUAAGCCUCGGUUUCAUGAUCUGCAGGGCCACCUUAACUGACAAAGAUGGCAUCUCCAAUGCGUCUAGCAUAGCGUCUGACAUGAAGUUGAACACAUUCAUUCCCAGAUGAUGGGCAUUCCUUUAUUUGACCCCACACUACUUCAUUGAUUUUAUGAU
This is a long non-coding RNA of Pipistrellus kuhlii (Kuhl's pipistrelle), 1941 nucleotides long. RefSeq lists it as uncharacterized. The record is from RefSeq and is a predicted model, not a curated record. NCBI's taxonomy places the organism in Eukaryota, Metazoa, Chordata, Mammalia, Chiroptera, Vespertilionidae. The transcript has 3 exons.